This 62-nucleotide transfer RNA is filed under the name Heterocephalus glaber (naked mole-rat). It matches the Rfam family "tRNA". Rfam says of the family: Transfer RNA (tRNA) molecules are approximately 80 nucleotides in length. Their secondary structure includes four short double-helical elements and three loops (D, anti-codon, and T loops). Lineage: Eukaryota; Metazoa; Chordata; Mammalia; Rodentia; Bathyergidae. The record is from Rfam by way of RNAcentral.
GUGAGUGUAGCUCAGUGGUAGAGCACUUGCCUAGCAUGCAAGAGGGUGUGGCUUCAAUCACA